Molecule: long non-coding RNA, 522 nt
Filed under: Triticum aestivum (bread wheat)
Lineage: Eukaryota; Viridiplantae; Streptophyta; Magnoliopsida; Poales; Poaceae
Description: long non-coding RNA (TAES_LNC005850)
Source: RNAcentral
UAGCCGACGACGACGAAACAGCCCUUAGGCGACUGGGCCGAGGAUGAUGAGUUACUGAACAAACAGACAGUGCUAGGCGUUGCUGUGGUGGAAUAAUGUUGUGUGGGGGUUCUGAUCCUUUCCCAGUUUUCGAAUCCCCCACCUCUGCCUGUGCCGAACGGUUAGAUUAGGAGGGACGCGCCGGUGCGAUUGCUGUCUGGCCGAUGAUGAGUGGAAGCAUUUGUGUUUGCUGCUCCUUCGCUAAUUUGGGAUGCAUGGUUGCGCAUGGUACUAUUCGUCAACCACUUUCAGGAUGGUUGAUUACAGAUUGAAAACGAGGGCAUGUUUCUGUGUGCUCCAUUUCUCCAUCAUCCUCGUCAGUAUUCUGCCUUGUAUUCUGGCGUGAGCCGUCAGUAUUCUACUCCUUGUAUUCUUUUGUCAGCCGGCAGCGUAAGGCCCCUCCUAAUGCGUAGGUGCUUAGAUCAGAUUGUGGUGCUUAUUGCAUAAUAAAAAUGAUUCAACGACUCUGCAUAGGCGCUUAUC